This is an RNA transcript of Solea senegalensis (Senegalese sole), 6623 nucleotides long. It is a transcript of the gene named ankyrin repeat and SAM domain-containing protein 6-like, with no coding region annotated. NCBI's taxonomy places the organism in Eukaryota, Metazoa, Chordata, Actinopteri, Pleuronectiformes, Soleidae. The record is from RefSeq and is a predicted model, not a curated record. The transcript is spliced from 20 exons.
AGUGACACACAGUGACACCUAGUGGUGACCACAAUACUAUGCCGCUUCUGGCAAUGACCACUAGAGGGCGGUAAAUGGUCAAACACUGAUAUCAAGCUAAGCAUGGUAGUCGUGUCCGGAAACAUCCGGUAGAUACUUUCAAAACAAUAGAUUUAUAAUAAAACAAGUACUUUUCUGUAUUUCUGUAAUAAAUUUGAUUCGGUAAUACAUAGAGAUACUGAUGUAAUGUAUACAAAUUAUCUAUGUACUUAAUGUUACAACAGAAGUGAAACUCAUGAUGAUGUUUUAACGAUGACGCUAGAUUUUGACGCCCCCUUACAAAGGCUUUACGGUAAAAAAAAAAAAAAACCUGCUCACCUGUAUCAAGUUAGGACAUCGACAUUCGGUUUCCAAAAUAAAGCAAUAAUAAUGUGAGACUUUUAUGCAGUUGCUCCAAGUCCAGUUAUUAUGUCGUAUUGAUGUGAGUAUGUUCAUUAUUAUUUUUUUCAUUCAAAGAUAACGCGUACUCAGAGACUGGAUGUCAGCUUGAUUGGUUCACAAGCUUACUUUAAAAAUCGUUGUAAGGAGGCAUUACAAUUCAGCGUUGAUUACUGGUCAAAGCAACACACACACACACACUCCGGAAUUUUAACAUACAAGGAAAGCAGAUUGAAUUAACGCAUGCAUUUACAUUGCAGUAAAACGUAUGUACAUUUGCGCAGCACGGAACGGAUGUGCAAAGUGUGUGAGUGUUUAAAAUGAAUGCCUCAUAUUGUAGAUAAAGGCUCUUGGGCAGCAAUAUAAUCAUUCGAGCUUUUAUUUUUGAAAAAUGUAAGCGGAAGUUGUGUUGUCUGUUAUGGCCGUGUUACUUUUAAAGAAGUAACGGAACCGGGGCCGUGCCGGUACGGCAGGUUGCCAAAAAGUUGUUUUUUAGUCGGAACAAGGUUUUGCCUCCUGUGUUGCGGGUGUAAAGGUGUGUCAGACCAAUAGAAGAAGUAUAAUUAAAAUACACGUAAGCAAGAGAACAAUAGCAGAAGAAGACGUAGUAGAAGAAAAAGAAGGAGUCGUAGAACCGGAGAUUUAUUUCACCGUGCGUCAUGAUUUCUAAACACGGGCCGCCGCCGACUGACAGGGUAAACUUUUGGACCAAAACCGUCGCUGAGACGAACUGGAUUUUAAUGGAGACAGAAUAACGGGGUGAACGAAGACAUGAAUUUCGGAGUUCCCCCAGAUUCGCUGCUACUUUUCCGUGCCUGCGACGAGGGCGACUAUGAGACGGCCCGGGGAAUCCUCGAGCCUGGAGCUCCGAAAGAGUCGGGGCGCCAGAGCAGGCUGCGGUCAGAAGUGGGGUCGGAGUGCAGCGCCGCGGAUAUGUUGUCGCUAGUACCGGUGGACUGCACGGACGAGGAGGGCAAUACCGCCUUGCAGUUUGCCUCUGCCAGCGGGCACGAGAACCUGGUCCGGUUUCUGCUCCGGAAAGGAGCCUCGGUGGACAGCCGCAACAACUACGGUUGGACCCCGCUGAUGCAGGCUGCGAGGUUUGGUCACUUGACUGUUGCCCACAUCCUGCUGGAGAAUGGGGCAGAGAUUAACGGACGCAAUAGGCUGGGUGCGAGUGUCCUAACUAUGGCGGCUCGUGGUGGACACACUCAUGUAGUCAAACUACUCCUGGAGAGUGGUGCCUUUGUGGAUGACUACGAUCACCUGGCUGUCACAGCAGAUGCGGUCUCCAAUGGAAACAACAACAAUAGCUGCAGCACGGCUGGUUUUGGAGGUGGUGAGGUUUGUCCUGAAUUGGGCAGCAUCAGAGAGUUUAUGGACAUCACAGCUCUAAUAGUGGCGUCGCAGCAUGGCCAUGAGGCCAUAGUGCGCCUGCUGCUGGAGUGGGGCUCUGAUGUCAACUUUUCCCAGAAGACCACAGGCUGGGGACCACUGAUGGCAGCCACACUCAGUGGGAAGGUGGUUGUGGCUCAGCAGCUGGUGGAACGUGGAGCUGACCCAGACCGAGUCAACGUUCUGUCCAAGACGGCCUUUGAACUCGCCCUGCAGCUGAAACAGAGAGACAUCAAGGCCUAUCUGGACUCUAUCACCACAGUCCGACCGCAGACAGAUGAUGAAAGAAAAAGACCAGAUGUGUUCAGUGCCCUCAAGUUGGGAAAUUCCCAGCUUGUUAAAGAGAUCUUGGAGGAGGAUCCCACCCAGGUGAAUUCCUCCAAUCAAGAGGGAGCGUCACCUCUGAUGAUGGCAGCCGUGAGCGGCCAGUUAGAAGUGGUCCAGCUCAUGGUGGAGAAGAACGCAGACAUAGACAAACAAGAUGGCGUUCAUGGCUGGACUGCACUAAUGCAGGCUACCUAUCAUGGUAAUAAAGAUAUUGUUAAAUACCUGCUGGAUCAGGGAGCUGAUGUCAACCUUCGAGCUAAGAAUGGAUACACAGCGUUUGAUUUGGUUAUGUUGCUGAAUGACCCAGACACUGAGCUGGUGCGUCUGUUAGCGUCGGUGUGUAUGCAGGUAGAUAAGGACAAGUCAAAACACCGUGGCAGAGCAUUCAUGACUCGCUCCAAAAGUCGCCAGUCCCUCAACAACAUUCCUGUGCCACCUGAUGACAAGGGAGGCCUUAAGUCCUGGUGGAGUAGGAUGUCAAAUCGGUUUCGCCGGCUUAAGUUGACGCACACCCUGAGGCAAGGCCUCUCGUCCAAUCGCCUGGCCCCAUUCCCUGAUGAUGCUAAAACGUCACUGGAUGCCACAAUGAAGGCAAAUCGAAAGCCUGGUGCCGUGCCUAAUGGGGCGCUGGCACCGACGCCUCCACUGGGAGGGAGCGACGUUAACACGAGCUGGGCUGUCAAGACCAAAGAAGCUGGUGUUUGCAGGUCAUCGUCAGAAAAAGAAGACUUCCUCAUAACCACUUUGUUGAGAAGCGGUGCACCCUUGACCCGGCUUCCCAAUGACAAGCUGAAAGCAGUGAUUCCUCCCUUUCUGCCUCCAUCCAACUUUGAGCCAUGGAACUCGGACCGUUCGCGUCUCCUCAGGGAAGGGAAGAGUGAAGUGCCUCGUCUGCCCAUGCCGCCUCAGAGGAAACUCAACAGCAGUGGAAACUCUGACAUUACGUCCAUCAGUCGUGUGGUCAGCAGGUCCAUAAAAUUUCCCAGCAUUCCCAAGGGGCCGUCCUCCUCCUCUCCUUCUAAUUCUGGUCACUACCACUCCCCCCACUCUUCUGGUGGCUCCAAUGGAGUGGCGGGGGUCAACCGGGACUCUCACAACCGUUCAGGCGGCAGUGCAGACAGUGUUCUUUCCCAGAUAGCAGCCCAAAGGAAGAGAGCAGCUGGCUUAAUAGACGGGAAAGUCCAAGCUCCAGAGAAGCAGCACAGCCCGACACAGAGCCAACCCCAACCCUCUGUCCCAGCAUCCAGCCUGCCACUGCCUGAUAUCAGCCUCCCUGACAUCCACACCCACUCAAGUCUGGUCCACUCUGAAAUCCACUCAAGAAGGAAGAUGGAAUUGAAGAAGAGACCUCAGUCAGGGAACUCGUCCACCUCCAAGAGCACGUCGCCCACACUGACCCCGUCUCCUUCACCCACGCCAAAGGCUGCCACUGGGCCGGGGGACUCUCUGUCCUCAGCCUCCUCCCAUCCUCGCUCCAAGAGCAGUGGAGGCUCCAGCAGUGGGACCAUCACUGAUGAGGAUGAGCUGUCUGGUAUCUUGAAGAAACUGUCGCUGGAGAAAUACCAGCCCAUUUUUGAGGAACAGGAGGUGGACAUGGAGGCUUUUUUGACUCUUACGGAUGGAGACCUGAAGGAGCUGGGCAUUAAAACGGAUGGACCCAGACAACAGAUCUUGGCUGCCAUAUCAGAGCUCAAUGCUGGAAAGGGCAGAGAAAGGCAGAUUCUUCAAGAGACCAUCCAUAACUUCCAGUCAUCGUUUGGUAGCAGCGCCAGUAACACAAGACAACCAGGUGAACCACGCUCACCAACAGGUUGGAUGAGACACCAGGUUCGUUCCUCCAGCAAGAGGUAGCCAGUAGCCAUGAUGCUCAUCAGGGAGUUCACAAAAGUAGUCGUGUAGUGGGGACGUACCGUGGACACACUUAUCACUUGUGCCUGGAGGUCAUGACCUCAGUGAUGUAUGUACUGACACAGAGCUAAGACGAUCGCUGCGUUCCUAAUGUCCGCCAACAGAGAAAGCAGAACAACCCAUGUGGAAUGGAGCGGAUUCCAUCAGAUUACAGACAGAUUGAGGGGAAGCCAACCUCCCUCUGGCCUUUAUACUGACCAUGAAACAACCAUUGAAAAACCCUAAUUUAAAUGUUAACAAAUAAUUUUUUUGCUCUGAUACCAAAUCCACAUUUUCCUCCCUCAAAUUUGAUUGACAUUGACUAACUAAAGUAAUUUUGUGUCUGUUUAUAUUUUGAUUGCCACAGUUAUGUCACUUUUUGCUCUUCAUAUUUGACUUUUCUCCCCACAUUAAUGCUGCAAAAUGACAUGGUUAUUUGCAGGCACAGAGCUGUAGCUGUAGGUUGGGGUGACACAUGGCAGUGGUAAAUGACAAGUGCACUCUUUUGAAAUCCUAAUACUCAUAAGUUGAACUAAUAUGUAUUUAGAUACACUAUUGGAAAUAUCAGUAACUGAGAAUCACCAUGGAAACUCCAUCAGUGAGCAUUGCAUUCUAUUUUUCUAUGUGUCUUUUGAGUUUGUUGUCUAUUUUAAAACCUUGUGAGACCAAAGCUGAUUUGUUUGUUGUACCAUGACAAAAAUUGAUCUCUUCAUCCGUGGUUGGUAUCAAUCACUGGAUGCUUCACAUGCUUGUGUUGUUUGCAUACAUGUGUGCACGUGUACAGGUAUGCAUUCACACAUGUACUGUAUGCCUGCAGGGUAUUUCCAUCGAGUUGUGACCCGACAGGACCGUUUGAUCUGGUCUCUCCCAUUAACAGCUCUCUGCUGUCAUGGAUUACGCUGCUGCAGCUUCACAAAUCCUGACGAUGCCUUUUUUUGCUUUGCAACAGCACCAGUGUUGUCUUGUUUGAUGAGUUCAGGUUAAUCUCAUGGUGAGACUAAAUUUAGGCCGACAGCUUAGAUCACACCAUGUUUCCUGGAAUAGAAUUGUCACAUGUUGACAAGCUUGUGUCUUGUAAGACACAAAAGGUUUGCCCUAAAUGACAGAAGAAACGAGUGUGUGUUUGCUAGGCUCCGGUAUUGACCCUUCCAAUUAAUUAUGGAUGUCCAUUAGAAUCCAACUUGUCAUGUCAUGGCCCUGCAUGUCUCUUGAAAUCCCAUGAUGAUGCUAACGGAGACAUCUUAAUCAAUGAAAGCCACACUACUGCACCUGGCAGAUGGCCUUCACUGAGUGCUAUUUUGCUCCAUGGUUAUAAUUCUGAAAUGUGUUUUAAGCCACAUACGCACACACAUACCGUGGACACAGACAUGGACUGAUACACAAACACACACACACGUACGUGGUUUGCGUGCGAAGACCUCCCUCAGCAGUGUUAACAGCCCUUUAAGGCCGGGCUAAUCUGGAAGGCAGCUUGGGUUGUGUUGUCAGUGGAUUUACAUUGAUACCAAAGUAACUUAAAUCGCAGCCACUGACAGCGUUAAACAUGACCUUAGGACCUCCGCAGAUCCGUGACCCCACCUGUCACAACAUAUGAAACGUCCCUCCUGAUCGCACAACAGUAUGACCGAAAGCCAUCUGCUUAAUCUGAGGUGCAAUCCUACAGGGCUGCGUUAUGACACACACUACAUUUUUAAACAGUCUGAAUUGUCAUAACAACCUCUGGUAUAAGGCCAUAGUCUUGAUCCUCUCACACUUACUUCAAUAGCUCUAAUGAUUUUAAUGAUUGACCAGUAAUGACGAGAUAGCAAUCCCUUUGGCCAUUGGAAAUCUCCUCAGAUUACAGAUAAGACUAUUUCUGCUUAACAGAAAAAAAAAAAAGUGAAUGGAGACAAAUCACAGCGUCACAUACUGGGCAUGUGACAGGUUUUUAUCAAGUAUUAUUAAUUUAUCAAUAGAAAAACAACAGUCCUAUGUCACAAUACUGAAAUUACCGGAAGGGAAAGAUUACCUUGAGUAAAUAAUCAUGGCCAGAAUGGCCCUUGACAUGCUGUCACUUCUAUCAUUUUGAAUAGGGCUGCAUGAUAGUAGGUAAAAUAUGAUAUGAGAUAACAUUGUUGAAUAAUAAUAAGACUUGAGAUAAACUACUAUAAUACUCAUGCACUGUAUAGUGUGUUGUCCUAACUGGGUUGGGUUCACUGCUAACGUAAUUGCAAUUGUCCUCUGCCCACAAACUAGAUACAGUGUUAUGAGUGUUGCAGUAUGGGUGGGGAGUUUGACUUUAAGUUUGCUAGUAUUAGGAAAAACAUCUACCUUAAUGGCAAGGAACAAUCUACAUUUGUUCCCAACAGCCUUUGCAGGAUGUAUGUUUUGUGAAAAAGCAACAGCAAUACAUUUUGAAUGUUUGGUACAACUCUGAUUGUAAGUUUAAGUUACAUUGAUGUUUCCAUAAGUGUCCGUUUCAUCUUUGUUGUGUUCUUUGUUUUUGCCAUUUGCAAGCAGCUCUUUUAACCAACACCCAAUCCCAUUACUUCCUUUUUGCUCUGUGUGAGAGAUCACAUUAUCAUUCUCCUCUACAAUUUAUUUAAACAAGAAAAAUA